Molecule: ribosomal RNA, 503 nt
Filed under: uncultured Glomeromycotina
Lineage: Eukaryota; Fungi; Glomeromycota
Description: partial small subunit ribosomal RNA
Rfam family: Eukaryotic small subunit ribosomal RNA
Source: RNAcentral
CCAAUAGCGUAUAUUAAAGUUGUUGCAGUUAAAAAGCUCGUAGUUGAAUUUCGGGGUUCAUCCGUUGGUCGGGCUUUUUUGGUCUGUACUGGCGUGAUGGAUUCCUACCUCCUGAAUAACCAGCAUGUCAUUAAUUUGGUGCGCUGGGGAAGCAGGACUGUUACCUUGAAAAAAUUAGAGUGCUUAAAGCAGGCUAUCGCCUGAAUACAUUAGCAUGGAAUAAUGAAAUAGGACGGCAUGGUUCUAUUUUGUUGGUUUCUAGGAUCACCGUAAUGAUUAAUAGGGAUAGUUGGGGGCAUUAGUAUUCAAUUGUCAGAGGUGAAAUUCUUGGAUUUAUUGAAGACUAACUUCUGCGAAAGCAUUUGCCAAGGAUGUUUUCAUUAAUCAAGAACGAAAGUUAGGGGAUCGAAGACGAUCAGAUACCGUCGUAGUCUUAACCAUAAACUAUGCCGACUAGGGAUCGGACGAUGUUAAUUUUUUAAUGACUCGUUCGGCGCCUUACG